This 218-nucleotide unclassified non-coding RNA is filed under the name Hevea brasiliensis (rubber tree). Lineage: Eukaryota; Viridiplantae; Streptophyta; Magnoliopsida; Malpighiales; Euphorbiaceae. The record is from RNAcentral.
UUUCGACAUUCUGGACACAUGGAAUGGCCGCUCGCUGGGCGGCUGUGUCUACCAUGUCGCCCAUCCAGGGGGGCGGAGCUACGACACCAAGCCGGUCAAUAGCUACGCGAGGCGGCUUGCCCGCUUUCAGGACCACGGGCACACGCCGGGCCCGAUAACUGUGCCUUCCGAGGAACGGACCCUCGAAUUUCCCCUGACUCUGGACCUCCGGACGCCGC